This is a long non-coding RNA of Crotalus tigris (Tiger rattlesnake), 337 nucleotides long. RefSeq lists it as uncharacterized. The record is from RefSeq and is a predicted model, not a curated record. NCBI's taxonomy places the organism in Eukaryota, Metazoa, Chordata, Lepidosauria, Squamata, Viperidae. The transcript has 3 exons.
CGCUCGGGGCAGCAGAGCAGCAGCGGCAGCAAUAGCAGCAAGGGAAGGCGGGGCCAGGGCAUGGCACGCAAAUCGGAACGGCGAGCCCAGACGGCGAAAGGCGUCGCGACCUCCGUUGGCCGGAAUGACAUCCAUGCAAAAAAGGAAUUCUUCAUCUUGAACAUCUAAGUUGGGAUGGACUUCAGGAAGUGGCAUCCAUAUAGAGAACUGGUUGUUCAUAUAUUUGAAUCCCACCACUGCUUACAGUAUAACAUCUCUUCAUAUUAUCUGCAUAAAGUUGCAUGGAAUAGUUUGACUCUUGGUCAUAUCGUAUGUUUCAAUUUACCUCUAAGCAGAA